AGCUUUGUGCAGUGGCAGUAUCGUAGCCAAUGAGGUUUAUCCGAAGUGCGAUUAUUGCUAAGUAUAAAAAAAAAAAAAAAAAAAGAAGGAAUGACUAGAUUUAUCGAAUACUCUUAAAACGUGGCACAACCUUACAGUU
This is a small nuclear RNA of Molossus molossus (Pallas's mastiff bat), 139 nucleotides long. RefSeq annotates it as U4 spliceosomal RNA. The record is from RefSeq and is a predicted model, not a curated record. The transcript has a single exon. Lineage: Eukaryota; Metazoa; Chordata; Mammalia; Chiroptera; Molossidae.